UACGUAGGGUGCGAGCGUUGUCCGGAUUCACUGGGUGUAAAGGGAGCGCAGGCGGGUUGGCAAGUCAUUGGUGAAAUUCUCAGGCUCAACUUGGGGACUGCCAAUGAUACUGCUGAUCUUGAGUACGGGAGAGGAAGACGGAAUUCCUGGUGUAGCGGUGAAAUGCGUAGAUAUCAGGAAGAACACCGGUGGCGAAGGCGGUCUUCUGGCCCGUUACUGACGCUCAUGCUCGAAAGCGUGGGGAGCAAACAGGAUUAGAUACCCCAGUAGUCC
RNAcentral lists this ribosomal RNA (273 nucleotides) under uncultured bacterium. RNAcentral's name for it is "partial 16S ribosomal RNA". It matches the Rfam family "Bacterial small subunit ribosomal RNA", at positions 524 to 796 of the family's 1533-position model. The record is from RNAcentral.